This is a non-coding RNA of Acanthosepion pharaonis, 114 nucleotides long. Lineage: Eukaryota; Metazoa; Mollusca; Cephalopoda; Sepiida; Sepiidae. The record is from the annotation of a GenBank genome assembly.
UUACGACCAUAUCACGUUGAAACACCGGUUCCCGUAAGAUCACCGAAGUUCAGCAACGUUGAGCCUAGUCAGCACCUAGAUGGGCGAUCCCUUAGGAAUAACUGGUACUGUAAG